Molecule: long non-coding RNA, 401 nt
Organism: Dermacentor silvarum
Lineage: Eukaryota; Metazoa; Arthropoda; Arachnida; Ixodida; Ixodidae
Exons: 3
Source: RefSeq, a predicted model, not a curated record
AGAUCCAACGCCCAAGGAAGUCAUUCCGUACUACGUAGACUACGAUAAUUGCUUCGUAAUUGAUGUGGAGUAUCAUGGACACCAAUGCACACUGUGGACACAUAGAGAGCUGAAGGACGCAGUGCCACAAAACUGCAUCGACCAUUUUGUGGACACGUGUGGCGUCAUAGUGCCAGAGCACAGCAGAGACUUGUGUCCGGACGGCGAAGGUGACUACUAGUGACAAAGGCGGUGUUUCGACUGACUGGAUAUGAACGGGAUGUUAGAUGGACACCAGGAAUAAGGAUUGAAGAUGGACCAGGCGAACGUCAGUUCCUCCUAUCUGCUUGUUUGUCGCUUACCGACACGUUCCUCACAGCGUCCUAUGGUUCAGUGCGCCGAGAUGUAUGGGUACAUAAUAA